RNAcentral lists this ribosomal RNA (253 nucleotides) under uncultured bacterium. RNAcentral describes it as "partial 16S ribosomal RNA". It matches the Rfam family "Bacterial small subunit ribosomal RNA", at positions 524 to 776 of the family's 1533-position model. The record is from RNAcentral.
GACGUAGGGCGCGAGCGUUGUCCGGAUUUAUUGGGCGUAAAGAGCUCGUAGGCGGUUUGUCGCGUCGUCCGUGAAAACUCACAGCUUAACUGUGAGCUUGCGGUCGAUACGGGCAGGCUAGAGUUCGGUAGGGGAGACUGGAAUUCCUGGUGUAGCGGUGAAAUGCGCAGAUAUCAGGAGGAACACCGGUGGCGAAGGCGGGUCUCUGGGCCGAUACUGACGCUGAGGAGCGAAAGCGUGGGGAGCGAACAGG